UACGAACUGUGCGAACGUUAUUCGGAAUCACUGGGCUUACAGGGUGCGUAGGCGGCUCAACAAGUCAGGUGUGAAAGCCCCCGGCUCAACCGGGGAACUGCGCUUGAAACUGUUAGGCUCGAGUCAGCUAGAGGUACACGGAACUUCCAGUGGAGCGGUGAAAUGUGUUGAUAUUGGAAGGAACACCGGAGGCGAAAGCGGUGUACUGGGGCUGGUCUGACGCUGAGGAGCGAAAGCGUGGGGAGCGAACAGG
This 253-nucleotide ribosomal RNA is filed under the name uncultured bacterium. RNAcentral describes it as "partial 16S ribosomal RNA". It matches the Rfam family "Bacterial small subunit ribosomal RNA", at positions 524 to 776 of the family's 1533-position model. The record is from RNAcentral.